UUCUAGAGUAAAGCUCGCCUAAAUAUGGAAAAGGUACAUUCCCUUUUCUUUCCUUAUCCGAACGUCUUUUCAAAAACCACCCCUCCAUAGAGAUCAAAGUAAGUGGCUCCUUAACUAUCUGUCUCCUCCAUGGUCAGGAGGCUGUGGCCACUGGCCACUAUGUGUUUUUCCAUAACAAGUGCUGGAGGACCUUCUCGUCUUGGUAAAAGACGAAGGAAUGUGUCAAAAGUGCCCAUUUCUUAUAUGGAUUCCUUUCCAUAGCCGAAAGUUACGCCCUCUUCUUCUUCCUGGUAUUAUUAUCGCAAUUAUAUAUAUAUAUAUAUAUAUAUAUAUAUAUAUAUAUAUAUAUAUAUAUAUAUAUAUAUAUAAUAGGGCUAUACAUGAAGGCUUAGCCUACUACUGUAUAAAAUUUUGAGUUACACGGAUCCUCCUGUUCCCCGCUCAGUGACCCCACAUUUGAUGCCUGCCUAAAAGUAAAUUCCAAAAGGGCUCGAUUUUCCAGGUCCAAAAUUAUUGUCUACUUAGUGCAAUAUUGUACGAUCCAUCCACCAUAUUUCCCGCAGCCAUUGCCCCCCUUGACAUUCAUGCAUCACGGUGUCUUCCAUUCACAGUACACAGGCAUGCAGCUUCACAAGAUGAUAGAUCAUUAUCAGCAUAUUCCUAAUUACAGUUGGAUUGUUAAAAGGUUGUAUAUAUUCAUCCUCAGUUAAAAUAUAUAUAUUCUCUG
This 727-nucleotide long non-coding RNA is filed under the name Populus trichocarpa (black cottonwood). RNAcentral describes it as "long non-coding RNA (PTRI_LNC000624)". The record is from RNAcentral. Lineage: Eukaryota; Viridiplantae; Streptophyta; Magnoliopsida; Malpighiales; Salicaceae.